RNAcentral lists this long non-coding RNA (214 nucleotides) under Elaeis guineensis (African oil palm). Its description in RNAcentral is "long non-coding RNA (EGUI_LNC034365)". Lineage: Eukaryota; Viridiplantae; Streptophyta; Magnoliopsida; Arecales; Arecaceae. The record is from RNAcentral.
GUCCCGGAUCUCCAAGAUGGCAGCAUUGAAGCACGCCAUAAAGUCUCGUAGAGACUCUCUGUCUUGCUGUCUGACGGAGAAAAGGCUGUCAAAUGUCUGUGGCACCUUUCAAUUGGUAUCGAAGUGCACCAAGAAGAGCUGUCUGAGCUGGUCAAAUGAAUGGAUACUUCUCGAUUGAAGUUUGGAGUAUCAUAUUUGGACAAUCUUCCUGAGG